GAUGAAGAACGUAGCGAAAUGCGAUACGUAAUGUGAAUUGCAGAAUUCAGUGAAUCAUCGAAUCUUUGAACGCACAUUGCGCCUGCCAGCACUCUGGCAGGCAUGCCUGUUCGAGCGUCAUUUCAACCAUCAAGCCCUAGGCUUGCGUUGGAGCCCUGCGGCUGCCGCAGGCCCCUAAAAGCAGUGGCGGGCUCGCUAUCACCGAGUGCAGUAGAUUACUCUUCGCUCAGGGCGUGUGGCGGGUUCCAGCCGUGAAACCCCCUACUUCUCAAGGUUGACCUCGGAUCAGGUAGGAAUACCCGCUGAACUUAAGCAUAUCAAUAAGCGGAGGA
Molecule: unclassified non-coding RNA, 332 nt
Filed under: soil metagenome
Description: partial contains 5.8S ribosomal RNA, internal transcribed spacer 2, and large subunit ribosomal RNA
Rfam family: 5.8S ribosomal RNA (bases 1-120)
Source: RNAcentral